This 691-nucleotide ribosomal RNA is filed under the name uncultured Lachnospiraceae bacterium. RNAcentral's name for it is "bacterial SSU rRNA". It matches the Rfam family "Bacterial small subunit ribosomal RNA", at positions 43 to 735 of the family's 1533-position model. Lineage: Bacteria; Bacillati; Bacillota; Clostridia; Lachnospirales; Lachnospiraceae. The record is from RNAcentral.
CGUGCCUAACACAUGCAAGUCGAACGGAGCUGCUUUGAUGAAGUUUUCGGAUGGAUUUAAAACAGCUUAGUGGCGGACGGGUGAGUAACGCGUGGGUAACCUGCCUCACACUGGGGGAUAACAGUUAGAAAUAGCUGCUAAUACCGCAUAAGCGCACAGUUCCGCAUGGAACAGUGUGAAAAACUCCGGUGGUGUGAGAUGGACCCGCGUCUGAUUAGCCAGUUGGCGGGGUAACGGCCCACCAAAGCGACGAUCAGUAGCCGGCCUGAGAGGGUGAACGGCCACAUUGGGACUGAGACACGGCCCAAACUCCUACGGGAGGCAGCAGUGGGGAAUAUUGCACAAUGGGGGAAACCCUGAUGCAGCGACGCCGCGUGAGUGAAGAAGUAUUUCGGUAUGUAAAGCUCUAUCAGCAGGGAAGAAAGUGACGGUACCUGAAUAAGAAGCCCCGGCUAACUACGUGCCAGCAGCCGCGGUAAUACGUAGGGGGCAAGCGUUAUCCGGAUUUACUGGGUGUAAAGGGAGCGUAGACGGCAAGGCAAGUCUGAAGUGAAAGCCCGGUGCUUAACGCCGGGACUGCUUUGGAAACUGUUUAGCUGGAGUGCCGGAGAGGUAAGCGGAAUUCCUAGUGUAGCGGUGAAAUGCGUAGAUAUUAGGAAGAACACCAGUGGCGAAGGCGGCUUACUGGACG